RNAcentral lists this ribosomal RNA (253 nucleotides) under uncultured bacterium. Its description in RNAcentral is "partial 16S ribosomal RNA". It matches the Rfam family "Bacterial small subunit ribosomal RNA", at positions 524 to 776 of the family's 1533-position model. The record is from RNAcentral.
UACGUAGGGUGCGAGCGUUAAUCGGAAUUACUGGGCGUAAAGCGUGCGCAGGCGGUUGGUUAAGUCUGAUGUGAAAGCCCCGGGCUCAACCUGGGAAUGGCAUUGGAAACUGGCUGGCUAGAGUGUGGCAGAGGGGGGUGGAAUUCCGCGUGUAGCAGUGAAAUGCGUAGAGAUGCGGAGGAACACCGAUGGCGAAGGCAGCCCCCUGGGCCUGCACUGACGCUCAUGCACGAAAGCGUGGGGAGCAAACAGG